Molecule: ribosomal RNA, 484 nt
Filed under: uncultured bacterium
Lineage: Bacteria
Description: partial 16S ribosomal RNA
Rfam family: Bacterial small subunit ribosomal RNA
Source: RNAcentral
AUUGAACGCUGGCGGCAGGCCUAACACAUGCAAGUCGAGCGGAUGAAGGGAGCUUGCUCCUAGAUUCAGCGGCGGACGGGUGAGUAAUGCCUAGGGAUCUGCCUGGUAGUGGGGGAUAACGUCCGGAAACGGGCGCUAAUACCGCAUACGUCCUGAGGGAGAAAGUGGGGGAUCUUCGGACCUCACGCUAUCAGAUGAGCCUAGGUCGGAUUAGCUAGUUGGUGGGGUAAAGGCCUACCAAGGCGACGAUCCGUAACUGGUCUGAGAGGAUGAUCAGUCACACUGGAACUGAGACACGGUCCAGACUCCUACGGGAGGCAGCAGUGGGGAAUAUUGGACAAUGGGCGAAAGCCUGAUCCAGCCAUGCCGCGUGUGUGAAGAAGGUCUUCGGAUUGUAAAGCACUUUAAGUUGGGAGGAAGGGCAGUAAGUUAAUACCUUGCUGUUUUGACGUUACCAACAGAAUAAGCACCGGCUAACUUCGUG